Molecule: ribosomal RNA, 120 nt
Filed under: Pinus radiata (Monterey pine)
Lineage: Eukaryota; Viridiplantae; Streptophyta; Pinopsida; Pinales; Pinaceae
Source: RNAcentral
GGGUGCGAUCAUACCAGCGUUAAUGCACCGAAUCCCAUCAGAACUCCGCAGUUUAGCGCGCUUGGGCUAGAGUAGUACUGGGAUGGGUGACCUCCCGGGAAGUCCUAGUGUUGCACCCUC